GGGGUGGAAGAUGAGAAAUCGUUGGAAGCCCUGAAGAGACGGAAGCUGCGGUACCCGGUGAGUGGCGAACGGGUGAGUAACACGUGGGUCAUCUGCCCUAAAGUGGGGAAUAACAGUUCGAAAGGACUGCUAAUACCGCAUGUGGUUCCGCGAGGGACGAAAGGGGCGCAAGCUUCGCUUUAGGAUGAGCCUGCGGCCGAUUAGCUAGUUGGUGAGGUAACGGCCCACCAAGGCGAUGAUCGGUAGCUGGUCUGAGAGGACGAUCAGCCAAACUGGAACUGAUACACGGUCCAGACUCCUACGGGAGGCAGCAGGAAGGAAUAUUGCACAAUGGGGGAAACCCUGAUGCAGCGACGCCGCGUGAGUGACGAAGGCCUUCGGGUCGUAAAACUCUUUU
RNAcentral lists this ribosomal RNA (397 nucleotides) under uncultured bacterium. RNAcentral describes it as "bacterial SSU rRNA". It matches the Rfam family "Bacterial small subunit ribosomal RNA", at positions 38 to 437 of the family's 1533-position model. The record is from RNAcentral.